CUACACGACCGUACCGCAAACCGACACUGGUGCGCGAGAUGAGUAUUCUAAGGCGCUUGAGAGAACUCAGGAGAAGGAACUCGGCAAAUUGACACCGUAACUUCGGAAGAAGGUGUGCCUUUAGUAGGUGAACCUGUACAAGGGGAGCCCAAUGAGGUUGCAAAAAAUCGGUGGCUGCGACUGUUUAAUAAAAACACAGCACUCUGCAAACACGAAAGUGGACGUAUAGGGUGUGACGCCUGCCCGGUGCUGGAAGAUUAAAUGAUGGGGUGCAAGCUCUUGAUUGAAGUCCCAGUAAACGGCGGCCGUAACUAUAACGGUCCUAAGGUAGCGAAAUUCCUUGUCGGGUAAGUUCCGACCUGCACGAAUGGCGUAACGAUGGCCACACUGUCUCCUCCUGAGACUCAGCGAAGUUGAAAUGUUUGUGAUGAUGCAAUCUCCCCGCGGAAAGACGGAAAGACCCCAUGAACCUUUACUGUAGCUUUGUAUUGGACUUUGAACAGAUCUGUGUAGGAUAGGUGGGAGGCUUUGAAGUGUGGUCGCUAGAUCGCAUGGAGCCAACGUUGAAAUACCACCCUGGUGUGUUUGAGGUUCUAACCUAGGCCCGUAAUCCGGGUCGGGGACAGUGCAUGGUAGGCAGUUUGACUGGGGCGGUCUCCUCCCAAAGCGUAACGGAGGAGUUCGAAGGUACGCUAGGUACGGUCGGACAUCGUGCUAAUAGUGCAAUGGCAUAAGCGUGCUUAACUGCGAGACUGACAAGUCGAGCAGAUGCGAAAGCAGGACAUAGUGAUCCGGUGGUUCUGUAUGGAAGGGCCAUCGCUCAACGGAUAAAAGGUACUCUGGGGAUAACAGGCUGAUACCGCCCAAGAGUUCAUAUCGACGGCGGUGUUUGGCACCUCGAUGUCGGCUCAUCUCAUCCUGGGGCUGUAGCCGGUCCCAAGGGUAUGGCUGUUCGCCAUUUAAAGAGGUACGUGAGCUGGGUUUAAAACGUCGUGAGACAGUUUGGUCCCUAUCUUCCGUGGGCGCUGCAGAUUUGAGGAAGCCUGCUCCUAGUACGAGAGGACCGGAGUGGACACACCUCUGGUGUAUCGGUUGUCACGCCAGUGGCAUUGCCGAGUAGCUAUGUGUGGAAGAGAUAACCGCUGAAAGCAUCUAAGCGGGAAACUCGUUUCAAGAUGAGAUCUGCCGGGGCCUUGAGCCCCCUAAAGAGUCGUUCAAGACCAGGACGUUGAUAGGUCGGGUGUGGAAGCGCAGUAAUGCGUUAAGCUAACCGAUACUAAUUGCUCGUGCGGCUUGACC
RNAcentral lists this ribosomal RNA (1299 nucleotides) under metagenome. RNAcentral describes it as "bacterial LSU rRNA". It matches the Rfam family "Bacterial large subunit ribosomal RNA", at positions 1634 to 2925 of the family's 2925-position model. The record is from RNAcentral.